GGUAGUCCACGCCGUAAACGAUGUCGACUUGGAGGUUGUUCCCUUGAGGAGUGGCUUCCGGAGCUAACGCGUUAAGUCGACCGCCUGGGGAGUACGGCCGCAAGGUUAAAACUCAAAUGAAUUGACGGGGGCCCGCACAAGCGGUGGAGCAUGUGGUUUAAUUCGAUGCAACGCGAAGAACCUUACCUACUCUUGACAUCCAGAGAACUUAGCAGAGAUGCUUUGGUGCCUUCGGGAACUCUGAGACAGGUGCUGCAUGGCUGUCGUCAGCUCGUGUUGUGAAAUGUUGGGUUAAGUCCCGCAACGAGCGCAACCCUUAUCCUUUGUUGCCAGCGAUUCGGUCGGGAACUCAAAGGAGACUGCCGGUGACAAACCGGAGGAAGGUGGGGAUGACGUCAAGUCAUCAUGGCCCUUACGGCCAGGGCUACACAUGUGCUACAAUGGUCGGUACAAAGGGUUGCCAAGCCGCGAGGUGGAGCUAAUCCCAUAAAACCGAUCGUAGUCCGGAUCGCAGUCUGCAACUCGACUGCGUGAAGUCGGAAUCGCUAGUAAUCGUGAAUCAGAACGUCACGGUGAAUACGUUCCCGGGCCUUGUACACACCGCCCGUCACACCAUGGGAGUGGGUUGCUCCAGAAGUAGCUAGUCUAACCUUCGGGAGGACGGUUACCACGGAGUGAUUCAUGACUGGGGUGAAGUCGUAACAAGGUAACC
RNAcentral lists this ribosomal RNA (712 nucleotides) under uncultured bacterium. Its description in RNAcentral is "bacterial SSU rRNA". It matches the Rfam family "Bacterial small subunit ribosomal RNA", at positions 789 to 1501 of the family's 1533-position model. The record is from RNAcentral.